This 811-nucleotide ribosomal RNA is filed under the name uncultured crenarchaeote. RNAcentral describes it as "bacterial SSU rRNA". It matches the Rfam family "Archaeal small subunit ribosomal RNA", at positions 61 to 859 of the family's 1478-position model. The record is from RNAcentral. Lineage: Archaea; Thermoproteati; Thermoproteota.
AGCUAUGUUGAGACGCGGCAUACGGCUCAGUAACACGUGGCUAACCUACCCUCAGGACGGGGACAAACCCGGGAAACUGGGGCUAAUAUCCGAUAGGUGAGGAUGCCUGGAAUGGUUUCUCACUCAAAGGGCUUUAGAAACAUGCUUUUAAAGUCGCCUGGGGAUGGGGCCGCGACCGAUCAGGUUGUUGGUGAGGUAAUGGCUCACCAAGCCUAUAACCGGUACGGGCCGUGAGAGCGGUAGCCCGGAGAUGGGUACUGAGACAAGGACCCAGGCCCUACGGGGCGCAGCAGUCGCGAAAACUCCGCAAUGCACGAAAGUGUGACGGGGCUACCCCGAGUGCCAUCCGCUGAGGAUGGCUUUUCCUUGGUAUAACUAGCCAGGGGAAUAAGGAGAGGGCAAGACUGGUGUCAGCCGCCGCGGUAAUACCAGCUCUCCGAGUGGUAGGGAUGAUUAUUGGGCUUAAAGCGUCCGUAGCCGGCUUAGCAAGUCUCCUGUUAAAUUCAGCGACCUAAUCGUUGAGCCGCGGGAGAUACUACUAGGCUAGGAGGCGGGAGAGGUCGACGGUACUUCUGGGGUAGGGGUGAAAUCCUAUAAUCCCGGGAGGACCACCAGUGGCGAAGGCUGUCGACUAGAACGCGCUCGACGGUGAGGGACGAAAGCUGGGGGAGCGAACCGGAUUAGAUACCCGGGUAGUCCCAGCCGUAAACGAUGCGGGCUAGGUGUUGGGGUGGCUACGUGCCACUUCAGUGCCGCAGGGAAGCCAUUAAGCCCGCCGCCUGGGGAGUACGGCCGCAAGGCUGAAACUUAG